Molecule: long non-coding RNA, 1023 nt
Organism: Apis dorsata (giant honeybee)
Lineage: Eukaryota; Metazoa; Arthropoda; Insecta; Hymenoptera; Apidae
Exons: 3
Source: RefSeq, a predicted model, not a curated record
ACAACAGAAACAAUUGAAUGGAAAUUUUUUAUGUUACAUAAAAUAUUUAUUCCAUUAAAACAAUUAACAGAAAAUCACAAUUGUUCUGCAUGAUUGCAUGGUGUUAAAAAAGAAAGAUUAUUGGCAAAACCGCGAUAAAGGCGAAAACUUUUUAUAAGUUGGCGUAUUACAAACGAAAGGAGGUAAGAGUUAGGAAUUAGAGGAAGAUUUAUGUCAAUCCAGAUACGCGGCAACAAACAACGGGGGACAAGUAAUCAAAUUUUACCGUAAGAUGACGGCAAACACGUCGGAUAUUUGUCGAACACUUGACAGAACCUCUCCGGCACGAUGGUUUUCCGCAGUUGUAUGUCUGUGAUACGCGCGUCUCUGAUUGUGCCUCGGUUAAAAAUAUUCUUGUAUCAAAUACAAAAAGCUUCUUCUUUAUCGUCACAUCGAUUAAUAAAUUUACCAGACAUUUCGUAUCCGGAUCAGAGACAAAAAUUUCAAAGUAUGCAUAAUCACUGGAUCAAGUUUGAAAGUAACGCGUGCCAUCAAUUGAUAUUCUCAUAAACUAAAAUCCACUCGGAUGAUCAUCAUUCCAGUGGCAAAUUCACGCGUGGAAAGUACGUCGUUAUGUGGAUAACGUUAUUCAGAACGGGUAUGGAGGAGGAGAGGAGCAAGUCGAUCAACUGAAGUUUCAACCGCGCGUAAUGAGAUUAUUCUGUUCUGCCGGGAUGUCAACGCACGCCUAGCUACCGUUGGGCUGACGUGAAACCUGCGCUGAACUUCCGGUUGAAACUUUUACGGUUAAUAUUCAGUAAAAGGGGGAAGAAAGAGAGAGAACGAAAAGAGUUAUGCGCGACAAUAUGACGCGUGAUAAAAAUAUUAACGGAAACGGGAAACAAUUCCUUCCUCUAUAAUUUUAUCCCCCAUUUUUUUCAUCAUUUUGUUCCUUUUGCUUCUCUCGCAAAAUAAUUUUCCAAUUAAACAUUUUUAAACGUCAAACUAUUAUAAUAUAUAAAUUUUAUUUAUUUAUAUUAUUUU